CGUGGGUAACCUGCCCAAGAGAUCGGGAUAACACCUGGAAACAGAUGCUAAUACCGGAUAACAACAGAUGAUGCCUAUCAACUGUUUAAAAGAUGGUUCUGCUAUCACUCUUGGAUGGACCUGCGGUGCAUUAGCUAGUUGGUAGGGUAACGGCCUACCAAGGCGACGAUGCAUAGCCGAGUUGAGAGACUGAUCGGCCACAUUGGGACUGAGACACGGCCCAAACUCCUACGGGAGGCAGCAGGU
RNAcentral lists this ribosomal RNA (246 nucleotides) under uncultured Lactobacillus sp. Its description in RNAcentral is "partial 16S ribosomal RNA". It matches the Rfam family "Bacterial small subunit ribosomal RNA", at positions 116 to 354 of the family's 1533-position model. Lineage: Bacteria; Bacillati; Bacillota; Bacilli; Lactobacillales; Lactobacillaceae. The record is from RNAcentral.